RNAcentral lists this long non-coding RNA (611 nucleotides) under Athene cunicularia (burrowing owl). RNAcentral describes it as "lncRNA (ENSACUG00000007370.1)". Lineage: Eukaryota; Metazoa; Chordata; Aves; Strigiformes; Strigidae. The record is from RNAcentral.
UGAGAAGGGAAGCACUGGACAUGCAAGAGAGCUAUGCCAUCUUCUUCCUGCCAUACUGCCACGACUGCAAGAAGGAAAGCCACUCAAGCUGAAAAAGAAGGUGGUGGUUGCGGAGAAGUGUCUGUGAGGAGCUCUCAGCUCUGGAAAGGACUCACUGGUCUGAAAUAGCCCGGGACUGUUGAUCUCCAGGUCAUGCUACAAGAAGCAUCCUUCUGCUCACACUGGUGAUGACUGUGAUGUCUGCAGAAAAAGAAGAAUUUGUGCGAGCUCUGUAACAAGUGAGGGGAGAGUGUGGUCGCCUGCUAUUACAAAAUCCAUAGGAUCUGUGGAAGGGGAACAGUCCUGGGAGAAGACUUCAAGUGAUGCAACUAGAUGGAGUCUGCUCACACCAGAGACCAAGGGGCACAGUCUUCCCAAAUCCUUAAUAUACAGAGACGUGCUCAACUGGCUGCUGGAAACCUGCUCUAAUGGCAGGACCCCAAUAUCUGGGAACUUCUGUGUUCUUCCAAAGUGGUAUGAAGAAGGUGUAACAGACACCACGAUACUCUUCCAGUGUGUUCAGGCAUAUUGCAGGUGGGCUGACGGUUGCAUUUUGUGAACUACUGCCCAAU